UGGAGGAAAGCAGGGGAUCGUAAGACCUUGCGCUUUUGGAGUGGCCGAUGCCUGAUUAGCUAGUUGGUGGGGUAAUGGCCUACCAAGGCGACGAUCAGUAGUUGGUCUGAGAGGACGACCAGCCACACUGGGACUGAGACACGGCCCAGACUCCUACGGGAGGCAGCAGUGGGGAAUUUUGGACAAUGGGCGAAAGCCUGAUCCAGCAAUGCCGCGUGAGUGAAGAAGGCCUUCGGGUUGUAAAGCUCUUUCAGUCGAGAAGAAAAGGUUGUGACUAAUAAUCACAACUCAUGACGGUAUCGACAGAAGAAGCACCGGCUAACUACGUGCCAGCAGCCGCGGUAAUACGUAGGGUGCGAGCGUUAGUCGGAAUUACUGGGCGUAAAGGGUGCGCAGGCGGCUUUGUAAGUCAGAUGUGA
RNAcentral lists this ribosomal RNA (419 nucleotides) under uncultured ammonia-oxidizing beta proteobacterium. RNAcentral describes it as "bacterial SSU rRNA". It matches the Rfam family "Bacterial small subunit ribosomal RNA", at positions 197 to 597 of the family's 1533-position model. The record is from RNAcentral. Lineage: Bacteria; Pseudomonadati; Pseudomonadota; Betaproteobacteria.